Molecule: non-coding RNA, 26 nt
Filed under: Homo sapiens (human)
Lineage: Eukaryota; Metazoa; Chordata; Mammalia; Primates; Hominidae
Source: RNAcentral
UGAGAUGAUGGGCUUGGGAAACGGGC